This 66-nucleotide transfer RNA is filed under the name Philanthus triangulum (European beewolf). Its description in RNAcentral is "tRNA-Leu". The record is from RNAcentral. Lineage: Eukaryota; Metazoa; Arthropoda; Insecta; Hymenoptera; Crabronidae.
UUUAAUAUGGCAGACUAGUGCAAUAGAUUUAAAUUCUAUUUAUAAAAUUAAUAAUUUUUAUUAAAA